Ostrea edulis (European flat oyster) is the source of this 1737-nucleotide long non-coding RNA. RefSeq lists it as uncharacterized. The transcript has 4 exons. The record is from RefSeq and is a predicted model, not a curated record. NCBI's taxonomy places the organism in Eukaryota, Metazoa, Mollusca, Bivalvia, Ostreida, Ostreidae.
UGCCCGCGAAAAUUUCCUUUGCCAGACGCCAUGAUUUUGAUGUUAUAUGGCCUACCGUAAACAUGAACAGACUUACAGAUCAGUUUUCAACAGACUCAAGGGAGUUCAUGGUGUUAUCCUGAAGAGUACCAACCAUUGAAACACAUUUCAUGAUAGUUGGAUACAGGGGGUGGUUGGUUUCAACAUGCCAUUCUGAGAGUUAACAGUAUGCAGUCCUGGAUCAAUGUUUAUAGUGCCAAAAUGAGCUUACUUUGAAUGACACUCAAGUUCAUGCACAUCGCAAUAUACUUCAUCAAUGUUCACUCAAAGGAAAGUUAGCAAAAAGUUGUCCAGACAUUCAACAGCAGGUGUUGUGAUACUCUUCUCAUCCUCAAACUUGUUGUGCAGGAGAAAUUGGAUCCCAAAGAAGAGAAGCUUUGUCAUAAUUUUUGAUAGCAUUGAUUAAAUAGUUUCUCAGAUAUUUCAAUAUUCUUUAUUUUUUGCAGGACACAUGGUUGGUAAUGUUUAUGUAAACUAGCAGAAUCCCUGUACAUUUGAAGUGUCAUAGUCAAGUAUACUUCAGAAGAGGCAAGCAAAGUAUAAGUCAAGUAUAUAUGAAGUAUAAGGCAAGAAGUAUACUUUAAGUAUAUAAAUCUUGAGUAUAACUGGAGUAUACUUCAUCAAUACUUGUGUAAAGUAUACUUGACAAACUAAUUUGCAUAUAAAAUCAAAAUACUUGAAGUAUACUUCAAGUAUAUGUGAAAGACAUAUACUUGUGAGUAUACAUGAAGUAUAAGCAAAGUAUAACUGGAGUAUACUUCAUCUAUGCUCGUAUAAAGUAUACUUGGCAAACUAAUUUGCAUAUAAAAUCAAAAUACUUGGAAGUAUACUUCAAGUAUAGUAAAAGAUAUACUUUUCAUAUGCUUGGAAGUAUACUUUAAGUAUACUGCAAGUAUAUGUAAUUUCGGAAGGGCAGGCCUUAUCGGUCACCUGAAUACUAGUGAAAAAGUAUCACUACUUCCAUGAGCUAUGACAUCUAGAAAAAAAAUUCCUGUUCUGAAUAUCUAAGCUAAAUUCUAAUGUUCAGCAACAGUAUCAAACAAGAUGUGUUCUUAAAACUUCACUGCCCUCAAAAGUGCAUACACUGAUGAAAGGCUUUAAAGAAUAGGUGUAUUAACAUUAAAACAUCUGCAAGUAUGCAUUUAGAUUUUAUACAGUAUCAGCAAACUUACACAUCAAUACUAUAUACUAAGUUUGGCCCUACCCUGGGGUGAAAACCCUUACUAUGGCGAUCAUCAAAUUUACAAUUUUGGUAAAAGACUACCUCCUCUAUCCAUUUAGUUUCAAUUUAGUAUAAAUAGCACUAUAAAGAAGAUAUAUUCAAGUGUUUUACACAUAUAAACACUAUAUAACAAGUUUGGCCCCGCCCUGGGGUCAGAACUCCUUAGGCGUGACCCCGGGGAUCAUGAAAUUUACAAUUUUCGUAGAGGCCUUCCUGCUGUACAUCCCUAUGCAUUUAGUUUUUCUUACACGUGUGCAGUUCUAGAGAAGAAGAUUUUUGAAAAUUCGUCAAUUUUGGGCAGUUUUUGCCCCACCCCAAAGGCCCCUGGGGUGCAGGAGUUCUGAAAUUUACAAUUUAUGUCCCCCUUGUUCCAAAUAUGUUUCAUACCAGAUUUGAAAAGAAUUGGAAUGAUAUAGUUAUCAAGAAUAAGUUAAAAAAGUCUAUUGUUCACACAUUUGAUAACUGACCAUUUUGGC